RNAcentral lists this ribosomal RNA (460 nucleotides) under uncultured bacterium. Its description in RNAcentral is "partial 16S ribosomal RNA". It matches the Rfam family "Bacterial small subunit ribosomal RNA", at positions 338 to 795 of the family's 1533-position model. The record is from RNAcentral.
CCUACGGGUGGCAGCAGUGAGGAAUAUUGGUCAAUGGGCGGAAGCCUGAACCAGCCAAGUAGCGUGCAGGAUGACGGCCCUACGGGUUGUAAACUGCUUUUAUACGGGAAUAACGCGCCUUCCGUGUAGGGCUUUGCAUGUACCGUAUGAAUAAGGACCGGCUAAUUCCGUGCAAGCAGCCGCGGUAAUCCGGAAGGUCCGGGCGUUAUCCGGAUUUAUUGGGUUUAAAGGGAGCGGAGGCCGGAUGUCAAGCGUGCUGUGAAAGGUCCGGGCUCAACCCGGGGCGUGCAGGGCGAACUGGCGGGCUUGAGUCCGCGGAAAGCAGGCGGAAUGCGUCGUGUAGCGGUGAAAUGCUUAGAUAUGACGAAGAACCCCGAUUGCGAAGGCAGCUUGCUGCAGCGGAACUGACGCUGAUGCUCGAAAGCGCGGGUAUCGAACAGGAUUAGAUACCCGAGUAGUC